Molecule: non-coding RNA, 268 nt
Organism: Perognathus longimembris pacificus (Pacific pocket mouse)
Lineage: Eukaryota; Metazoa; Chordata; Mammalia; Rodentia; Heteromyidae
Product: small Cajal body-specific RNA 6
Exons: 1
Source: RefSeq, a predicted model, not a curated record
GGUCGAUGAUGAUUGGUAAAAGGUCUGAUUGCACUGAAUGUCACAGCUCCUUCCUCCCUCAACUCCCAGCAGCCCCAUUUUCCCCUUGCACAUUUAAGUCGUGUGUAUGGGGUAGUGAGCCGCUGAUAGUUUGGGAUUCUGUCAGUCUGUGUUCCGAGAGUAAGUGGUCCACAGCUGACUGGUAUCCAACAGCACCAGCUUCACAGGAGUAUGACGAGUGGCAGGAAGGGUGUGGCAGUGCAUGAUCUCAAGUUUUCAAUCUGAGACC